This is a non-coding RNA of Candidatus Muproteobacteria bacterium RBG_16_65_31, 74 nucleotides long. Lineage: Bacteria; Pseudomonadati; Pseudomonadota; Candidatus Muproteobacteria. The record is from Rfam.
CGUCUCUGGAGAGCGGUCGGCUGCUGCCGACCCACCGAAGGGGCUCAAGCUCUCAGGUCACAGGACAGAGGGGG